RNAcentral lists this ribosomal RNA (255 nucleotides) under uncultured bacterium. RNAcentral describes it as "partial 16S ribosomal RNA". It matches the Rfam family "Bacterial small subunit ribosomal RNA", at positions 524 to 776 of the family's 1533-position model. The record is from RNAcentral.
UACAGAGGGUGCGAGCGUUGUCCGGAAUCACUGGGCGUAAAGGGCGCGUAGGCGGCUGAUUUAGUCGAGGGUGAAAGCCCGUGGCUCAACCACGGAAUGGCCUUCGAUACUGGUUGGCUUGAGACCGGAAGAGGACAGCGGAACUGCGAGUGUAGCGGUGAAAUGCGCAGAUAUCAGGAGGAACACCGGUGGCGAAGGCGGGGUCUCUGGGCCGAUACUGACGCUGAGGAGCGAAAGCGUGGGGGAGCAAACAGG